GGAGUCGCAUUCCUAUUCGACUUUCAAUGGGGAAUAGGAAUGCCCCAAUACCCCUAAAUCCAAUCCCUAGUCUCUUUUAGUAUUGAAAUUAUAUUCUAAUGCAGAUCAUGAACCAAACAAGUUAGGAGAUAUGACUAUUCUGAUUCUCAUUCCAAUCUAUUCCAACUCCGAUUACGAUUGUAAACCAAAUGCACUCUAAAU
Molecule: long non-coding RNA, 201 nt
Filed under: Elaeis guineensis (African oil palm)
Lineage: Eukaryota; Viridiplantae; Streptophyta; Magnoliopsida; Arecales; Arecaceae
Description: long non-coding RNA (EGUI_LNC020380)
Source: RNAcentral